CACGGGGGGAACGCGAAGAACCUUACCAAAUCUUGACAUCCUCUGACAGCCAUAGAGAUAUGGUUUCCCUUCGGGGCAGAGUGACAGGUGGUGCAUGGUUGUCGUCAGCUCGUGUCGUGAGAUGUUGGGUUAAGUCCCGCAACGAGCGCAACCCUUAAGUUUAGUUGCCAUCAUUAAGUUGGGCACUCUAGACUGACUGCCGGUGACAAACCGGAGGAAGGUGGGGACGACGUCAAAUCAUCAUGCCCCUUAUGAUUUGGGCUACACACGUGCUACAAUGGACAGGUUACAAAGGGCAGCGACGCCGCGAGGCCAAGCGAAUCCCAUAAAACUGUUCUCAGUUCGGAUUGGAGUCUGCAACUCGACUCCAUGAAGCUGGAAUCGCUAGUAAUCGUAGAUCAGCAUGCUGCGGUGAAUACGUUCCCGGGUCUUGUACACACCG
RNAcentral lists this ribosomal RNA (442 nucleotides) under uncultured bacterium. RNAcentral's name for it is "bacterial SSU rRNA". It matches the Rfam family "Bacterial small subunit ribosomal RNA", at positions 950 to 1392 of the family's 1533-position model. The record is from RNAcentral.